Long non-coding RNA from Myotis daubentonii (Daubenton's bat), 1288 nucleotides. RefSeq lists it as uncharacterized. The record is from RefSeq and is a predicted model, not a curated record. NCBI's taxonomy places the organism in Eukaryota, Metazoa, Chordata, Mammalia, Chiroptera, Vespertilionidae.
UUAGUUGGGCAACAUGAGGGCUAUUUUAUGUCUUAACCUACACAGGUUGCAUUUGGCACGUGGUUGGCAGUGACUGAGCAAGCCCUGAGAAUAAAACGGGAAAACAGGCCCCUCGAUGAGUGGAGCAUGGGAUCCAUAUUACUUCCGUCACCUUAUUCCCUUCCUUUUUCUUCCUAGAAAACUGGGAAGGCGAGGAGGGAUCCACACACACACCCCACCCACAACACUGAAAAGGUCUCCGAAGGCUCCUACCUCGUCCCUUAACUCUCCCGUCUGGAAGGGAGCGCACGAGACAGGCACACAGCCCUGAGAAAGCUUUCCACCACCCACCUGUUCUGCAAGCCCGUUCAAGGCCCCACACGGGGCUCAACUGGAGAGAAGGCUGAAAUGUUGUUACCAGUCCUAAGAUAAGGAGGUACCGAGCAGACGUCAUACCCACACUUCCCACCAAGUUUUUCCAGCUGCUACACCAAAUGCGCCCGGGAAGAAGAAAACGGGGUAGCGACUGGUAAACAGGUUUUUUUGUUUUGUUUUGUUUUUGCAGCAGUGGGCACCGGGGAGGGAGGAAGACACGAAACCAAGACCCAAGAGGAUUGCGACACCCCCCCCCCCCCCCUUCCCAGCAUGUGGCCCACGGAAGCAUGGCGCCUUUCCCGAGCCAAAGUGGGAAGGGCGUCCGGGACAGACACCUGAGCCUCCCGGCAGGAAGCCUGUUCACCUUUUUCCCUUCCGUCCCAACCAGCGCCCCGCUCUUCCCCAAAGGAAAUCCUUUCCCCACCCGGAGCCGCAGGGUCCACUCCAAAGUGGCCGCCCCGCGGGUCCGUCCCGACCCUCCAUCCACCUCCAUCCCCGCCCUGGGUCCUCGCCCUCCCCGCCACCCCCGUUCUCCCGGGACGGAAGCCUUCGCCGCUGCAGGAAUGCGCGGCCGUGACCGAAGUGGGGACGCCACUGGCCGGCCCAGGACCCAGGGGGACGCGCACCGGCCGGCCGGGAGCGCAGAGCGCCACGCGCUCACCUGGGAGCGCCCGCAGGACCGGCUGCUGCAGCCACCUGCGCAGGGACCCCACGUCCCGGGAACCCCGUGCGACGCCCUGGAAACCCCGUCGGGCGUCCCCUCCCCGGGGAAGGGGUGGGAGACACGCAGACGGAGAUGCCCACACGUGCUCGGCGGCCGGCUGCCGCCCGCCCCGCCCAGGGCAGCCCCUACGCUCCCGGGACUGACUCACCGAGAACUUUUUUCUCCGCGUCUUCGUUGCCGGUGGGGGCUGAAGAGGCGGGGGCCGCGGGG